AACGAACGCUGGCGGCAUGCCUAACACAUGCAAGUCGAACGAGACCUUCGGGUCUAGUGGCGAACGGGUGCGUAACGCGUGGGAACCUGCCCUUAGGCUCGGAAUAACUCCCCGAAAGGGGUGCUAAUAUCGGAUAAUGUCUUCGGACCAAAGAUUUAUCGCCUUUGGAUGGGCCCGCGUUGGAUUAGCUAGUUGGUAGGGUAAAAGCCUACCAAGGCGACGAUCCAUAGCUGGUUUGAGAGGAGGAUCAGCCACACUGGGACUGAGACACGGCCCAGACUCCUACGGGAGGCAGCAGUUGGGAAUAUUGGACAAUGAGCGAGAGCCUGAUCCAGCAAUGCCGCGUGAGUGAUGAAGGCCUUAGGGUUGUAAAGCUCUAUUACCCGGGAUGAUAAUGACAGUACCGGGAGAAUAAGCUCCGGCUAACUCCGUG
Molecule: ribosomal RNA, 433 nt
Filed under: uncultured bacterium
Lineage: Bacteria
Description: partial 16S ribosomal RNA
Rfam family: Bacterial small subunit ribosomal RNA
Source: RNAcentral